CAACCCUUAAGCCCCUGUUGCUUAGCGUUGGGAGCCUACAGCACUGUAGCUCCCCAAAGUUAGUGGCGGAGUCGGUCUCACACUCUAGACGUAGUAAAUCUAUCUCGUCUGUAGUUGGGCCGGUCCCCUGCCGUAAAACCCCCUAAUUUUUAAA
This 154-nucleotide unclassified non-coding RNA is filed under the name uncultured Xylaria. Its description in RNAcentral is "sequence contains ITS2". Lineage: Eukaryota; Fungi; Ascomycota; Sordariomycetes; Xylariales; Xylariaceae. The record is from RNAcentral.